This 666-nucleotide ribosomal RNA is filed under the name uncultured marine eukaryote. RNAcentral describes it as "SSU rRNA". It matches the Rfam family "Eukaryotic small subunit ribosomal RNA", at positions 617 to 1287 of the family's 1831-position model. The record is from RNAcentral.
GGUUAAAAAGCUCGUAGUUGGAUUUCUGUUGAGGGCGACCGGUGUACACCUCGUGUAUGUAUUUGGUUCGGUCUCGGCAUCCUCUUGGGGAACGUUUCUGGACCUUAUUGGACAGGGCGAGAUUCAAGACUUUUACUUUGAGGAAAUUAGAGUGUUCACGGCAGGCAAGCGCUUUGAAUACAUUAGCAUGGAAUAAUAAUAUAGGACCUUCGUUCUAUUUUGUUGGUUUCUAGAACUUAGGUAAUGAUUAAUAGGGACAAUUGGGGGCAUUCGUAUUAACGCGUCAGAGGUGGAAUUCUUGGAUUGCGUUACGACGAACUACUGCGAAAGCAUUUGCCAAAGAUGUUUUCAUUGAUCAAGAACGAAAGUAUGGGGAUCGAAGACGCUUAGAUACCGUCGUAGUCUAUACCAUAAACUAUGCCAAUUAGAGAUUGGAGGUCGUUCGUUUUAUGACUCCUUCAGCACCUUAUGAGAAAUCAAAAUUUUUGGGUUCCGGGGGGAGUAUGGUCGCAAGGCUGAGACUUAAAGGAAUUGACGGAAGGGCACCACCAGGAGUGGCGCCUGCGGCUUAAUUUGACUCAACACGGGGAAACUUACCAGGUCCAGACAUAGUAAGGAUUGACAGAUUGAUAGCUCUUUCUUGAUUCUAUGGGUGGUGGUGCAUGG